This 2003-nucleotide long non-coding RNA is filed under the name Gossypium barbadense (sea-island cotton). RNAcentral's name for it is "long non-coding RNA (GBAR_LNC022036)". The record is from RNAcentral. Lineage: Eukaryota; Viridiplantae; Streptophyta; Magnoliopsida; Malvales; Malvaceae.
UCUUUCUCUCUUAGUUUUCUCUCUUCUCCCAUUUGAGAAUUCUUAAGGAAUUCUAUUUGUUUGUAAUAUUUUGGAGAUAGUAAAGUUAUCAUCUGGUGUUAGUGCCUGAGGACGUAGGUAUAAUUUACCGAACCUCGUUAAAACUCUUGUGUUCUUUCUUGUCCUAUUUUUCUUUCAAUAUUUGAGGGUAUAAUAGUAAUAUUUAAUUGUGCUAUUAAAUUACUAUAGAAGGGAUAUUCUGUCUAAGGAAAGACUUGGUAUUUAAGAGAUCCAUGUGAUCCACCUCUCUUUCCUGGGAAUUGAACUUUGUGUGAUUUUUUAGUACAAUAAUUUACACGCUUCCGACCCUAUUGGAACAACAAGUGGUAUCAAGAGCCGAAGGUUAAUCGUAGUAUGCUCUGUGGUUGCAGUUUAAACUGAUCUUCCACAUCAGAAAAGAUUUCCUUAGGUAUAUUGAAAGAUUAUGGAGAAAACGGUCGGUGUAGGAGCUUCAACAUCGUCCAUGUGGACAAGACCGACAAUUACAAAUGCAAGACUGGCCGUGGAGAUCUUUGAUGGCACAGGCCAUUUUGGUAUGUGGUAAAGUGAGGUUCUAGAUGCCCUUUUUCAGCAGGGUCUAGACAUUGCCAUUGAUGAAGAGAAAAAACUAAGAGAGAAAGAUUGGUUGGGAUGGUUGAAAUGAGAAAUGGUUAGGCCUAUUUAUAGUUGAGGUUCAGGGACUAACUUGCAAAUGGCCUAAAAAAUUAGGGACCAAAAUUGCAAUUAUCCCAUUCAACUUUAAACAACUUGCCUAUCACUUUUUUUCUUUCGGUGCCACUUGCACCUCCCAUUUUUUGACUUUUCAACAAUCUCCACCUUGAAGAAAUAUCGAUUCAUACAAGCUAAAUCUUCUAAUCGAUAAUUGGGCCAAAGAAAGAACUUUAAUUUAAUUAGUUUCUUUUUAUCACUAUCAAGAUGUUUGUUUUUAGUCAAAACUUGACCACAGUUUUUUACAUUAUUUAAAAAUACUGCAUUUCUAUGCAUACCAUUUUUAUCCCUGGAAUUGAAAGAAAUUCGAAUUCGCAAUUCUCGCCGGUGGUUAGGGGAUAAAAUAUUUUCAGGAACAAACAAAUCAUAAUGAUUUUUGUCUUCUUCAAGGUGGAGAUUGUUGAAAAGUCAAAAAAUGGGAGGUGCAAGUGGCACCGAAAGAAAAAAAGUGAUAGGCAAGUUGUUUAAAGUUGAAUGGGAUAAUUGCAAUUUUGGUCCCUAAUUUUUUAGGCCAUUUGCAAGUUAGUCCCUGAACCUCAACUAUAAAUAGGCCUAACCAUUUCUCAUUUCAACCAUCCCAACCAAUCUUUCUCUCUUAGUUUUCUCUCUUCUCCCAUUUGAGAAUUCUUAAGAAAUUCUAUUUGUUUGUAAUAUUUUGGAGAUAGUAAAGUUAUCAUCUGGUGUUAGUGCCCGAGGAUGUAGGUAUAAUUUACCGAACCUCGUUAAAACUCUUGUGUUCUUUCUUGUCCUAUCUUUCUUUCAAUAUUUGAGGGUAUAAUAGUAAUAUUUAAUUGUGCUAUUAAAUUACUAUAGAAGGGAUAUUCUGUCUAAGGAAAGACUUGGUAUUUAAGAGAUCCAUGUGAUCCACCUCUCUUUCCUGGGAAUUGAACUUUGUGUGAUUUUUUAGUACAAUAAUUUACACGCUUCCGACCCUAUUGGAACAACACUUUGGAUCUUCGCCGAUUUUACCACUCUCAUGAGCACCCACAGGAUUGAAGUACCGCAGUAAAAUAAUACUCCAAUCUGGUUCUGCCUUCUGUAUGUCUCGUGCAAUUUCUUCUAGGAAAAGCUGGUAAAGUUUUCAGUUAAAACAAAGUUUAGCGAUUACAGUUCAUGAGAAUUGAUCCGGUUUAGAUCCAAGUAAUGUACAACUAUUUACCUUGGUCCUUCCAUAAGGAUUCAUGGCCUUCAGCUCAAAAUCCUCAACACAUGGUAUUUUUUCAGGUUGGCCAUAGACUGUUGCAGAGGAAGAGAAU